CCUACGGGAGGCUGCAGUGGGGAAUAUUGCACAAUGGGGGAAACCCUGAUGCAGCGACGCCGCGUGAGCGAUGAAGUAUUUCGGUAUGUAAAGCUCUAUCAGCAGGGAAGAAAAUGACGGUACCUGACUAAGAAGCCCCGGCUAACUACGUGCCAGCAGCCGCGGUAAUACGUAGGGGGCAAGCGUUAUCCGGAUUUACUGGGUGUAAAGGGAGCGUAGACGGUUGUGCAAGCCAGGUGUGAAAGCCCGGGGCCCAACCCCGGGACUGCAGUUGGAACUGUGUGGCUGGAGUGUCGGAGAGGCAGGCGGAAUUCCUAGUGUAGCGGUGAAAUGCGUAGAUAUUAGGAGGAACACCAGUGGCGAAGGCGGCCUGCUGGACGAUGACUGACGUUGAGGCUCGAAAGCGUGGGGAGCAAACAGGAUUAGAUACCCGGGUAGUC
This 440-nucleotide ribosomal RNA is filed under the name uncultured bacterium. RNAcentral describes it as "partial 16S ribosomal RNA". It matches the Rfam family "Bacterial small subunit ribosomal RNA", at positions 338 to 795 of the family's 1533-position model. The record is from RNAcentral.